GAUGAACGCUGGCGGCGUGCCUAAUACAUGCCAGUCGAGCGAACGGACGAGAAGCUUGCUUCUCUGAUGUUAGCGACGGACGGGUGAGUAAUACGUGGAUAACCUACCUAUAAGACUGGGGUAACUUCGGGAAACCGGAGCCAGUACCGGAUAAUAGUUUGAACCGCAUGGUUCAAAAGUGCAAAACGGUUUUGCUGUCACUUAUAGAGGGAUCCGCGCUGCAUUAGCUAGUUGGUAAGGUAACGGCUUACCAAGGCAACGAUGCAUAGCCGACCUGAGAGGGUGAUCAGUCACACUGGAACUGAGACACGGUCCAGACUCCUACGGGAGGCAGCAGUAGGGAAUCUUCCGCAAUGGGCGAAAGCCUGACGGAGCAACGCCGCGUGAGUGAUGAAGGUCUUCGGAUCGUAAAGCACUGUUAUUAGGGAGGAAGAUAUGUGAAUGUAACUGUUCACGUCUUGACGUUACCUACUCAGAAAGCCACGGCUAACUACGUG
Molecule: ribosomal RNA, 497 nt
Filed under: uncultured bacterium
Lineage: Bacteria
Description: partial 16S ribosomal RNA
Rfam family: Bacterial small subunit ribosomal RNA
Source: RNAcentral